Molecule: ribosomal RNA, 720 nt
Filed under: Aspergillus ochraceus
Lineage: Eukaryota; Fungi; Ascomycota; Eurotiomycetes; Eurotiales; Aspergillaceae
Description: partial 18S ribosomal RNA
Rfam family: Eukaryotic small subunit ribosomal RNA
Source: RNAcentral
UUUUUUUUCCCGGGGAUUAGAAUAGGGCGGGGGGGUUUAUUUUGGGGUUUCUAGGGCCCCCGUAAUGAUUUAUAGGGAUAGUUGGGGGGGUCCGUUUUUCAGUGUCAGAGGGGAAAAUUUUUGAUUUUUUGAAGAAUAAAUUAUGGGAAAACCUUUGCCCAAGAUGUUUUCCUUUAUCCGGGAAAGAAAGUUAGGGGAUUGAAGGCGAUCAGAAACCGUUGUAGUUUUAACCAUUAAAUAUGCCGAAUAGGGAUUGGGCGGGGUUUUUUUUUGACCCCUUUGGCCCCCUACGAGAAAACAAAGUUUUUGGGUUUCGGGGGGAGUAUGGGCGCAAGGGUGAAAAUUAAAGAAAUUGACGGAAGGGCCCCCCCAGGGGGGGAGCCUGGGGGUUAAUUUGACUCAACCCGGGGAAACUCCCCAGGUCCCGACAAAAAAAGGAAUGACAGAAUGAGAGCUUUUUUUUGAUUUUUUGGGGGGGGGUGCAUGGCCGUUUUUAGUUGGGGGAGUGAUUUUUUUGGUUAAUUGGGAUAACGAACGAGACCUCGGCCCUUAAAUAGCCCGGUCCGCAUUUGCGGGCCGCUGGGUUUUUAGGGGGGGUAUCGGGUCAAACCGAGGGAAAUGCGCGGCAAAAACACGUGUGUGAUGCCCCUUGAUGUUUUGGGCCGCACGCGCGCUACACUGACAGGGCCAGCGAGUACAUCACCUAACCGAGAGCCCGGU